This 468-nucleotide ribosomal RNA is filed under the name uncultured bacterium. RNAcentral's name for it is "partial 16S ribosomal RNA". It matches the Rfam family "Bacterial small subunit ribosomal RNA", at positions 28 to 507 of the family's 1533-position model. The record is from RNAcentral.
GACGAACGCUGGCGGCGUGCUUAACACAUGCAAGUCGAACGGAAAGGCCCUGCUUUUGUGGGGUGCUCGAGUGGCGAACGGGUGAGUAACACGUGAGUAACCUGCCCUUGACUUUGGGAUAACUUCAGGAAACUGGGGCUAAUACCGGAUAGGAGCUCCUGCUGCAUGGUGGGGGUUGGAAAGUUUCGGCGGUUGGGGAUGGACUCGCGGCUUAUCAGCUUGUUGGUGGGGUAGUGGCUUACCAAGGCUUUGACGGGUAGCCGGCCUGAGAGGGUGACCGGCCACAUUGGGAAUGAGAUACGGCCCAGACUCCUACGGGAGGCAGCAGUGGGGAAUAUUGCACAAUGGGCGGAAGCCUGAUGCAGCAACGCCGCGUGCGGGAUGACGGACUUCGGGUUGUAAACCGCUUUCGCCUGUGACGAAGCGUGAGUGACGGUAAUGGGUAAAGAAGCACCGGCUAACUACGUG